This 72-nucleotide transfer RNA is filed under the name bacterium. Its description in RNAcentral is "tRNA-Lys". It matches the Rfam family "tRNA". Rfam says of the family: Transfer RNA (tRNA) molecules are approximately 80 nucleotides in length. The record is from RNAcentral.
GCCCUCAUAGCUCAAUGGUAGAGCAGCUCCCUUUUAAGGAGUUGGUUGUAGGUUCGAAUCCUACUGAGGGCA